UAGUUUAAAAACUCACUUCAUAGCGCUAGUACGUCGAGAUUCUUCGAAAACAUGAAAUAAAAUGCCAGGGAAACUCUCUCGACUGCUACAAAUCCCAUGAAGUUCCGUCAAAGAGCGUAAAAAUUGGCAUUCGACUUGCGUGAGAUAUUAGGUUGAAAUGAGGAGUUAUAAAUAAAUUAAUCCAGACGUGGGUUUUACAGGUGAAAUGGAGAAUGUUCAAAAGUCCUACAAAGACAGUCCCCAGGAUUCUCCUUCAAUAGAAACAAUCGACCCUGCUAGUCUACUGGAGGCUAAUAUAAAGGCUGGAGUGACUGAUGAGAAUCAUCUUCGGAGUCUCGGCUUAAUAAUGGAAGAUGGCAAACCAAGAUUCAAGUUAGACGAGCCUGUGACUGGCCAGACUGAUCUCAGCAUGUCAGGGUCUGGUCUAACCAACUUUCCAUCAGCUCCGAUUACUCAGGAUCAAGAUGAGGAGUCAUUUAUUGUUUUUGGAAGUGAUUCACUGAAUUCGAUACAAGCCUCUUCGAUGGCAUCAUACAUUCAGAUUCAACAGAAGAGUAUGUCGACUGAUUAUAGCUCGUUGAUUUCCUCAUUGAGCAUCGAAGAGACCCAAAAAAAGAUCAAGGAACUACUUCAAGAAAAUGUCAAACUCAAGGAAACAUUGAAGCAAAAUAAUUUGGCCAUGAAACAACAGUUCAAUGUUUUGGCAGCUUGGCAAGAAGAGAUAAUGAAAGUGCAUCAGAGCCAUAAGCAAAAAUUCAGUGAAACUAAGGCGCUAAUCAAUCAAUUGAGGAAGGAAAACGCAGAAUUAAAAGUCAAGGCUUCAAAGGACUCGGUACCGUCGAACAUCAACGAUUCAAAGAUAGAAGAUCUAGAAAUCCAGCUGCAAACAACCUUACUUUCGCAAAAAUCACUUCAACCUCCAAGAGAAGUUGAACUUGAGGCAGCAAAUUCUAAGUUAGUUAAAGAACUGAAUGAUACAAAGACAGUUUGUUACCGGUUGACCGCUGAGGUCGAACAUUACACAGCUUUAUCCAAGCACCUUAGUCAGCAGUUAAAGCACGCCGAGUUAACAAUUGAAGAGUUAAAUCUUGACUUGGAAAAACUGCAGUUAAAUUUAAAGGAAAAAGAGGAGCUGGCAAGCCUUGCAGAUUUCAGUAUAAUUUCUAUGUCAGAACAAACCAAGCCAUCCAAACCGUGGAAAGAUGAAAUUAUUGAACAAGAAAAGGAGAUUGAAUAUCUUCGUGGAUUGAUCAAUUCUUUGGAAUGCCAGUUGAACGUUUCCUCUCAAAAUACAUUUGCGCCAAUUGAAAUUCGAACUCGUGACUCCAGCCAUCCGCCCUCUCCAGAUCAUGUCCAGUUUAACGAAAAUGUGAAACAAUACAACGAAACAUUAGUCCGUUUAUCAGAAUUAUAUGCUAAGUACGCAACACGAUAUAUCGAUGUACAAGAGUGUCUGAAGGAAUUAAUCGAACUUUUACAAGAUUUAGAGCAGCCGGAAAAGAAAGAAGGACUUGGUGUUAAUGAGCAGGAAAAGCGUGACAAGUUGAGGAGCUGCCAAGCCAGAUUGACCAAAGAGCGGCAGGCUAUGAUUAACGAAAGGCAAGAGUUGACAAAAGCUCAAAGUCAAUUCCAAAAAAUAUUUUCCGAUUUCAACUCGUUGUUGUACGAGUUGGAAAUUUUACACGAGGAAAAUGAUAAGCUGAGUUCCUUAAGAGAUAAUAAUGCCUCAGUGGCGGUGACACAAGAAAGUCCGCAAAAAUCGGCAGUUGACGAUGAGCAAAAUUUGGCCAAGGAGAGACUACUUUUAGAAGCUAUGAAAGCAAGUAUUUUGCAAGAACAAAAGGAUCUUAAUGAAGAAAAGAAAGCAAUAAAUGCACUGAAAGAAAAGUGUCAAAAACAGGAUCAAGAGGAAGUGAUAAAAUUGCAAGAAGCCAUCAAACAUUUACAGAAUAGAAACGUAUACUUGGAAAAAUGCCGAACAACUGAUAAGGAAACAUUCGAGCUAUUGAAUCUGGAGAUUAAAUCUUUAAAAUCAGAGGUGUAAGAAUGAGACGAAUUAGAAGAUCAGUCGUGACACGAGUAUCGUCGGAGCACUAGUGCUGAAAAACACCCCCUGUUAUUAGCACAAGUGAAAAUUUACGAGACAGAUUUUAAAGAGGAAAGAGAAGCCAGGGAACGAUUGUCGGCAGAAAAUGAAAAACUUAUUCAUGAAUU
RNAcentral lists this unclassified non-coding RNA (2214 nucleotides) under Neodiprion pinetum (white pine sawfly). RNAcentral's name for it is "optineurin, transcript variant X4". The record is from RNAcentral. Lineage: Eukaryota; Metazoa; Arthropoda; Insecta; Hymenoptera; Diprionidae.